This 549-nucleotide ribosomal RNA is filed under the name uncultured bacterium. Its description in RNAcentral is "bacterial SSU rRNA". It matches the Rfam family "Bacterial small subunit ribosomal RNA", at positions 355 to 895 of the family's 1533-position model. The record is from RNAcentral.
UAGGGAAUCUUCGGCAAUGGACGGAAGUCUGACCGAGCAACGCCGCGUGAGUGAAGAAGGUUUUCGGAUCGUAAAGCUCUGUUGUUAGAGAAGAACGUUGGUAGGAGUGGAAAAUCUACCAAGUGACGGUAACUAACCAGAAAGGGACGGCUAACUACGUGCCAGCAGCCGCGGUAAUACGUAGGUCCCGAGCGUUGUCCGGAUUUAUUGGGCGUAAAGCGAGCGCAGGCGGUUCUUUAAGUCUGAAGUUAAAGGCAGUGGCUUAACCAUUGUACGCUUUGGGAACUGGAGGACUUGAGUGCAGAAGGGGAGAGUGGAAUUCCAUGUGUAGCGGUGAAAUGCGUAGAUAUAUGGAGGAACACCGGUGGCGAAAGCGGCUCUCUGGUCUGUAACUGACGCUGAGGCUCGAAAGCGUGGGGAGCAAACAGGAUUAGAUACCCUGGUAGUCCACGCCGUAAACGAUGAGUGCUAGGUGUUAGGCCCUUUCCGGGGCUUAGUGCCGCAGCUAACGCAUUAAGCACUCCGCCUGGGGAGUACGACCGCAAGGUU